UACCAAUAAACCUAAUGAAUUAAAAAAAAAAAAGAAGUUUUUGAGCAAUUGGGAUCCAGUUACGUCACCCUUGGUAGAUGACCCUUUUCCCUUACAGCUAAGCCGUGUUUGCUGCAGCUGAACUGAACUGUACUGAGAAGGAACAGCGGAUUCCUGUGCUCUGGGACAGCAAUCAGAGAGCUCACAAAUACACUGAGAUGAGUGGUGAAUGCCUGCAUUUAUGGAGCCAUCUCACUGCCUGCAUUUGGCCAUCUCUGCAAGUUGGUAUCAGCCACCAGCCACGAGGGGAAGAGGGGAAAGGAAAGGGACAUUUCCUUUCCUAACCCAGUGUAUCUUUCAAAAGGGUGCAGACUGGUGGAUAUGGUCUUGUUUUUUUUUCAAAGUGAAAACUCGCAGGAAGAAAAGAGGACCUCAACCUCCCAACCAGAAGCCCUGCUCCUAGCACACCACGGAGCCAACUUGGAACUCCACACCUCCCACCCUGCUCCUGCCCUAAUGCACUGUGACAUCUGGCUGAAGUGGACGCUCAGGGCCUGGGCUGAGCUGGGGACAUGGGCCUUUCUUUUCUGGGCUGGGUCUGUGCGUCACUACAGAGAGACUGUGGACUCUCCAUGAAAGGGCUUCUCACCCUCUGCAGUCCAGCAGUGAAUGGAAAUUUGUAUUUUAGAAUUUUCCAUCAAUGUAAGAAUUCUGAUUGAUCUCUAUAACCUUGAUUCUAUCCUUUUCUCCCCGCCCCCAACAAAGUCAUUUUUCUAUUGGAGAAAAGAAAAUGACAGUAGGGAAUAAUGAAUAUUAGAAGUAGAUGAUUGUUUUAGACUCCAGACUUCUAAAAUUAUAUAUGAUAGCUCUUCAACACAAAGAGAGCAAAGACAAAGGGAAACAUCUUUGUUGUUUUAGUGGCCUGCUUUAAUUGCAUUCUUUUAUCUUGGUAUAAGCUGAAUUUAAAAACUGAUGCCUGUGGUUUGGUUUCUAAACUGAAAUUUUUUAGCCCUACAAAAUUGGAGCAUUUCAAGGAAAAACAGGAGAGGUCAAUAUUGCUUUGUUGUUGGUGUCUCUGAAUGGAGUGACACAGAGAAAGGAUCUAGGACAAAUUGCAAACAAGUGUAAUACAGUGCCUGGAGUCCAGUGGGAGGGGAAAGCACUGGCCACAAUUCUGUGGAUUUAGGUAUGGCUGGCUUCAUAAAGAGGCUGGCACGUAUCUGCUCUGGGGACACGGUAGGAGUGGGAAACAAUGGGUAUCUGGAAAUCAAGAAAACUUCGUUGAAGGCUUUUGUGAAGGGUGUAAAGCACUGAAGAAGAAAUCAGAUAGUUCCAAAUAUAUAGACGGUUAAAGUGAGCAUAUCUUUAGGGAAAAGAAAUUGUCUACUUGCCUGUAGGAUACACCAAAAAAAAAAAAAAGGAGGGAUUGGACAGGGUAGUAAGCAUCAUGUCUUAUAGUGAAAGGUCUGAGACAUUUGUGAAAAAUCGUUAAAAUAAAAAUAAAAUAUUCAUUGAGUCAAACAAAUCUAGUGAUUACAUAAGCUAUAGGUCCUAUAGGAUAUCUAAUAAAAAUGUAUGGAAAUCCCUCAGGUGGGUCCUCCAUGUCCACACACUUUUAAGAUGCUGCUUAGAACUUUAGGAGUUUAUAGAUGCCUAGGACACUACAUGCCGAGCAGCUUUGAUUCAGAUGGACUUGACUGGCAUUUAAACAAAUGAAUCAAUUAUAAGAAAAAUAGCAUAUUAUUUUGAUAAGAUAUAGACCAGAAUUUUCUACCAUUUUUCUCUGCAAAGAAACAGACCCGAGGGUCAGCGGAAUAGAUUAGAAGAUGCAAAAACAACUCCAGACACAUGCAGCUACCUCAUCUGUGACAAAGGAGCCAACUAUCCUCACUGGAGGAAAUAUAGCCUCUUUAAUAGAUGGUGUUGGAAAAGUUGGCUUUCAGCCAGCCAAAGAUUAAAACUGGACCCCUAUCUUUCACCAUGGACUAAACUAAAAAUCCAAGCAGAUUAAUGAGCUAGUACUAAAACAGAAACACUAAACUUGCUGGAAGUUAAGUUAGGAAGAACUCUUGAAGAUAUUGGCAUAGGAAAAGACUUUAUGAACAAAUCUUCAGUAGCAUGUGAACUAGCGCAAAGAAUCAACAAUUGGGAUCUCAUCUUAAAAAGCUUCUGCACUUCCAGAGAAAUCACAAGCAGAGCUAUGAGACAACCCACAAUGUGGGAAAAAAUUUUUACCAACUGUUCCUCAGAGAAAGGUCUACUAUCUAGAAUAUCUAAAGAACCAAAAAAAAAAAAUCAGACCCCCCCAAAUAUAAAGAACCAAUUGAAAAAUGGGCAUCUGAAAUGAACAGACAUUGCUUAGACAAAGAAGUGAAAAUAGCAAAUAAACAUAUGAAAAAAUGUUCAAUAUCACUGGUCAUUUGAGAGAUGCAUAUGAAAACAACACUGAGGGCCAGGAAGUUAGCUCAGUGGUUCUGCUGCCUACCUCACAAGUGAAAAUACCCGAGUUCAAUCCCUGGUGCCAAACAAAGAAACAAACAAACAAGCCAAAAAUGCUGAGAUUCCACCUCACUCCGGAAAGAAUGGCUACUAUCACAAAAUCAACCAAGAACAAAUGCUGACGGGGUUGUGGGAGAAAAGGAACCCUUCUUCACUGUUGGUAGGAGUGCAGACUGGUGUAACCACUGUGGAAAUCAAUAUGGGGAUACCUCAAACAACUAGGAUUAGAGGUCCCAUUUGGCCCAGCUAUCCUUCUGCUGGGUAUAUUCCCAAAAGAAUUAAAAGAAUCAUACUACAACAAUAUAUGCUCACCCAUGUUAUAGUGACAGUUUGUGAUAGCUAAAAUUUGGAAACAGCCCAAUUGCCCAUCAGCUGGAGACUGGAUAAAGAAGUGUGUGUGUGUGUGUGUUUUAAUAAAAUGGAGUACAACUCAGCCAUAAAGAAUGAGAAACUAGAGACAUUUAUAGUGAAGUGGAUGCACAUUGAGGCCAUAGUCUCAAGUUAAAGUAAUAGGACACACGUGUAAAUACUGAAUAGUUUCUCUGGUGUGAAAAUCUAAAAGUGUAAAUGAGGAUCAAAAUAUAUAAUUGAUACUGUAUAACAGGGAGAAAAGGUCUAAAAGAGUAGAGGAAAUGGGAGGGGUAGGGCAAAGGUGAAAAGGGAAAAGAAAAAAACAUGAGAAAAGGAAAAACUUGGAAAAAAGUCUUUGUAAAUAGGUAGAGUUGAG
This is a long non-coding RNA of Fukomys damarensis (Damara mole-rat), 3205 nucleotides long. Lineage: Eukaryota; Metazoa; Chordata; Mammalia; Rodentia; Bathyergidae. The record is from Ensembl.